Molecule: transfer RNA, 73 nt
Filed under: Camelus bactrianus (Bactrian camel)
Lineage: Eukaryota; Metazoa; Chordata; Mammalia; Artiodactyla; Camelidae
Also listed under: 1 other name
Rfam family: tRNA
About the family: Transfer RNA (tRNA) molecules are approximately 80 nucleotides in length.
Source: Rfam by way of RNAcentral
GAGGGUAUAGCUCAAGUGGUAGAGCACAUGCCUUGCAUGCACGUGGCCCGUGGUUCAGUCCCUGGUACUGCCA